This 71-nucleotide transfer RNA is filed under the name Stereum hirsutum FP-91666 SS1. RNAcentral describes it as "tRNA-Ser (ACT) (tRNA-Ser-ACT-8-1)". It matches the Rfam family "tRNA". From Rfam's summary of the family: Transfer RNA (tRNA) molecules are approximately 80 nucleotides in length. Their secondary structure includes four short double-helical elements and three loops (D, anti-codon, and T loops). The record is from RNAcentral. Lineage: Eukaryota; Fungi; Basidiomycota; Agaricomycetes; Russulales; Stereaceae.
CUUCCGAUAGCUCAAUGGUGGAGCGCCGGUGUACUUUGCCGGAGACGUUGGUUCGAGUCUAAUUCGGAGGA